This 1107-nucleotide long non-coding RNA is filed under the name Danio rerio (zebrafish). RNAcentral's name for it is "si:dkey-62o19.6 (ENSDARG00000096820.2)". Lineage: Eukaryota; Metazoa; Chordata; Actinopteri; Cypriniformes; Danionidae. The record is from RNAcentral.
AUUCCGACUUAAUAUGAAAAUCCAAACGUGUCUUGGUAUAUUUUGAAAAACAAAAUUAUCAUACAAUUCCCUAUUGAUCAACAAAUUGUUGGUAGUGAAGGCGAGUCCUGCGCCAUUCGACGUCACGUGUUGGCUAGAAAGCAUGGAGGACGACCAAAGGAUUUGCAGCAAGAUAAAUACCCGAAUGAAAAUUAGAAGGACCUGCAGGUGAAAUCCGAUGCCCACGUUGCAGUACAGCCUCCGCACUCUCUUAAUGCCCAGCAAAUAGUCACUCUCCCAGUUCAGGUCCGAUUUCUCCACCGAGAUCCCCAAAACGGAGCGGGAGAAGAGCUUCUCCCACCUUUUCUCCAGUGAAGUUGCAUUAGUCCUGUCCGAGGUGGGGUAGGAGGACACGAUCCCAAUCAGAAAGCCCAGCAGAACAACCGCAGUCCACGUCCAGCGCCCGCUGCUCUCGCACAUACUGGUGAGGAACCUUUGCGCAGUGGCCAUCCGGUUUACCCUCGGGGCACGUGGUCAAAAUUAAUGCCCCUAAAAAUACCACUCUUGUUUUUCUUCUUUCGGCAUGGUGGCAGGGGCUUAUUUUUGGAAGGCAGGUCGGGGCUGCGGGCAUGUAAUGCAAUAAGCCCCUCGGUAGAUGAGAAGAGCAGGGCGGCAGAGCUCGAGCUGGUGGCGGCGACGAUGAUGAUUACCAUGUUUCACCUCUCUGGAUGGGGAGCACCACACACACUCACCAAAACGCAAGCUCACCUUGCCUGGGAGAUCUUCGGCAUGACAUCACUCACCUUCGGGAUGACAUCACGCUGACCUCACCGCCGCCGGGGGUCAGCUUGAUCGCCAGAACCCAGUCGGUGUGCGAGUCCAGGCGCGCGGCCCCGGGCAGAGUGAGUGGAGCGCGAGGGAGCCUGGUGGGUUUCGUAGGCAGCUCCCAAAUUGGACCGGCGGUCAUAUGCCCGACGGGCCGCUUCCUUAUUUAGAAGGAAGGUGUAAAAACAGGCCAGUUGUCACUGCGGAGCCACGUCAGUCUUGCAAAACACUUCCUGCGCUGUUUGCUCAGGAAGCUUUCACUAAGCUAUAUUUUGAAAAUGCUCCCGUGAUUUAUUCAUCUGG